CCUACGGGUGGCUGCAGUGGGGAAUAUUGGACAAUGGGGGGAACCCUGAUCCAGCCAUGCCGCGUGUGUGAAGAAGGCCCUCGGGUUGUAAAGCACUUUCAGUGAGGAAGAACGCCUGGUGGUUAAUACCCAUCAGGAAAGACAUCACUCACAGAAGAAGCACCGGCUAACUCCGUGCCAGCAGCCGCGGUAAUACGGAGGGUGCGAGCGUUAAUCGGAAUUACUGGGCGUAAAGCGCGCGUAGGUGGCUUGAUAAGCCGGUUGUGAAAGCCCCGGGCUCAACCUGGGAACGGCAGCCGGAACUGGCAAGCUAGAGUGCAGGAGAGGAAGGUAGAAUUCCCGGUGUAGCGGUGAAAUGCGUAGAGAUCGGGAGGAAUACCAGUGGCGAAGGCGGCCUUCUGGACUGACACUGACACUGAGGUGCGAAAGCGUGGGUAGCGAACAGGAUUAGAUACCCUUGUAGUC
Molecule: ribosomal RNA, 465 nt
Filed under: Vreelandella stevensii
Lineage: Bacteria; Pseudomonadati; Pseudomonadota; Gammaproteobacteria; Oceanospirillales; Halomonadaceae
Description: partial 16S ribosomal RNA
Rfam family: Bacterial small subunit ribosomal RNA
Source: RNAcentral